CGCCAAUUUCCGUUUCCCUUUCCCUGUUUCAGAAUUCACUCAUUCAAUUCCCAAAACCCUAAAACUAAGCCCUAUCCACCCCACCUGGCCACCCACGACGGAGAACGCCGGUCACACCAACCAUGCAACCACCAACUGAUGCACGCCUGCCGCCUGCCGCCUGCCGAUCACUGCUGUCUGCUGCUGGAAAGGUCAAAACUCAAACCCUAAAAUCGCAAAUCGCAACUGCAUGGCCAGUGGAUGUGUAGGAUUAGCAGACACGUAUGGCUUUGGCCAUUGUCUGUCGCUGGCCAUCGUUAGCUGCUGGCCAUCGUCUACUGGCCAUGGUUAGCUGCUGCAAAGGUCGAAAUCCAUUGAUUCAAACAAGAAGCACUCGAGUGCCUCUGAUCCAGUAACCUUGUGGUGCUCAAUUAGCAUCCAACCCAAGUGAGUGUCUGGUAUUUGUGUUGAUUAAUAAUCAUAAGAUACUGUUCAUGUAGUCGACAAAUCAAAUUGCCAUCGUUGGACUUAUUUGAAGACAUCUUCAGUGUGUGGUACCUCCUAUCAUCUUCUACUUGUGCCUUCAAUUUCUUGUAUCAUUAACAAAAGAAAGGCUCUAAAGGCUGGUUGAAGCAGUUUUGUCAGCUUGGUGGAAGCAGGAUUUAAUCAAAGUGAAAGGUAUAUAGAGGUUAUUUAUGUGGAAGGUGGAAGCAUGAUUUAAUCAAAAUAGCAUCAUGUUUUGUUGUCUGCCAUGAAAAUGCCAAUAUUUAUGUUGGAACAUAUAACUUUAGAAGUCUAAAAUGAAGUUGUAUGCUGGAAUAUAGAAGUUUAAAUUUGUAUAUCAUUAUUGGUUGUCUUGAUUGCUUCUAGGACAGAUAUAGGGAAUGGAUUGCUGUAAAGUUUACCUACCCAAAGCCUACAAUAGAUGAUUGGGAGGAUGCAUAUAAUCGAUGGACUGGAUGAUGCAUAUGAAGCACACGAUUAAUGGCCAUUUGAGUUGCGCCGUGCAUGAGUCAUUACAAAAGUAGAUUAUUUACAGGUGUAAGUGGCAAUUUUUGAUGGCAGUAUUGCUGUGUUUGGGAUUAAUUUUGCUCAAUUGAGAUUUAUUGAUACUUGAUCAAUUAGACCCUAUGUUUGCAUGCUCUACAACUGCUGUGUGCAAGGUAUUUUAGCUGUUGUCGGGUUGCUGCUGUUGGCUUGUUGCUGUCAGGUUGCAACUGCUACUGUCUGGUUGCGUUUCCAACACCUAUACCAGUUGUAGAGCAUUGUUGUGUUUAUUGUGGGCUGUCUGGUUGCGUUUGCUACUGCUCAUAUUGAGUGUUGAAUAGUUCAGCUUCGGGUUGGCUGCUGCUACUAAUUUCGACUGCGCUAAAGAUGCUGAUGGCCAGUGUAGCUGUGUGCCGAGUGCUGCUGGCUGACGUUGCCGUUCUGGUGGCUGGUGUAGCUGUCGAGUGUUGCUGGCUGGUGUAGCUUCCGAGAGCUGUUGUGCUACUGCCUAUACAUGGUUGUGCAGCCGCUGACUAAUGCGAUCUUGUAGCUGCGUUUGCUGGCCAGCUUGAUACUGCUCUAUUUUGAAAUUGUAUUGACGAAUACUUGGUCUAAUUUUGUAAUGAAGUCUAUUAGAUUGCCAUCUCGUGAUGUAUAGGCUAGGAAAUGGCUUUAUCUUUUGAGGUGCUUUGGCUUUCCGAGAGUGUGAUGAGGGGCUUGAUUGUGCUAUGGCCCCUUUUGUUUUUUACACUAAGCUGUAUAGCUUCGGAAUUUUCCGACAUUUUAUAAAAUUUACUGUCAAUAAUAAUAAUUCACUGUCAAAAUUAGGUAAAAUGUUAGUUAUGUUCAUUAGCUACGCUUAUUUGUGUGGAAAAACACGAAGAAAAC
Amaranthus tricolor (Joseph's coat) is the source of this 1854-nucleotide long non-coding RNA. RefSeq lists it as uncharacterized. NCBI's taxonomy places the organism in Eukaryota, Viridiplantae, Streptophyta, Magnoliopsida, Caryophyllales, Amaranthaceae. The transcript is spliced from 3 exons. The record is from RefSeq and is a predicted model, not a curated record.